This 167-nucleotide ribosomal RNA is filed under the name Escherichia coli. RNAcentral's name for it is "partial 16S ribosomal RNA". It matches the Rfam family "Bacterial small subunit ribosomal RNA", at positions 1 to 161 of the family's 1533-position model. The record is from RNAcentral. Lineage: Bacteria; Pseudomonadati; Pseudomonadota; Gammaproteobacteria; Enterobacterales; Enterobacteriaceae.
AAAUUGAAGAGUUUGAUCAUGGCUCAGAUUGAACGCUGGCGGCAGGCCUAACACAUGCAAGUCGAACGGUAACAGGAAGCAGCUUGCUGCUUUGCUGACGAGUGGCGGACGGGUGAGUAAUGUCUGGGAAACUGCCCGAUGGAGGGGGAUAACUACUGGAAACGGUA